This 254-nucleotide ribosomal RNA is filed under the name uncultured bacterium. RNAcentral's name for it is "partial 16S ribosomal RNA". It matches the Rfam family "Bacterial small subunit ribosomal RNA", at positions 524 to 776 of the family's 1533-position model. The record is from RNAcentral.
UACGUAGGGCGCAAGCGUUGUCCGGAAUUAUUGGGCGUAAGAGAGCUGUAGGCGGUCUGUUACGUCCGCUGUGAAAACCCAGGGCUUAACCCUGGGCUUGCAGUGGAUACGGGUAGACUAGAGGCAGGUAGGGGAGAAUGGAAUUCCCGGUGUAGCGGUGAAAUGCGCAGAUAUCGGGAGGAACACCGGGUGGCGAAGGCGGUUCUCUGGGCCUGACCUGGACGCUGAGAGCGAAAGCGUGGGGAGCGAACAGG